CUUUAAAAGUCAUCAUAAGUAGCCUUCUUGGUAGUGUAUGCAGCCUGUUUAUUAUAUGGGUUGCCCUAAGGGACCUUAGAGACAGCC
Molecule: small nucleolar RNA, 87 nt
Filed under: Neogale vison (American mink)
Lineage: Eukaryota; Metazoa; Chordata; Mammalia; Carnivora; Mustelidae
Description: Neovison vison (American mink) Small nucleolar RNA SNORA70 (ENSNVIG00000001427.1)
Rfam family: Small nucleolar RNA SNORA70
About the family: snoRNA U70 seems to be exclusive to mammals and is a member of the H/ACA class of snoRNA which contain H (ANANNA) and ACA box motifs.
Source: RNAcentral